Molecule: ribosomal RNA, 426 nt
Filed under: uncultured bacterium
Lineage: Bacteria
Description: bacterial SSU rRNA
Rfam family: Bacterial small subunit ribosomal RNA
Source: RNAcentral
GUGAGGAAUUUUCCGCAAUGGGCGAAAGCCUGACGGAGCAAUGCCGCGUGAAGGAUGAAGGCCUAUGGGUUGUAAACUUCUUUUCUCAGAAAAGAAUUAUGACGGUAUCUGAGGAAUAAGCAUCGGCUAACUCUGUGCCAGCAGCCGCGGUAAGACAGAGGAUGCAAGCGUUAUCCGGAAUGAUUGGGCGUAAAGCGUCUGUAGGUUGUUUAAAAAGUAUUCUGUCAAAGAUUAGGGCUUAACCCUAGAUAGGCAGAAUAAACUUUUAAGCUAGAGUUUGGUAGAGGCAGAGGGAAUUCCCGGUGGAGCGGUGAAAUGCGUAGAUAUCGGGAGGAACACCAAAGGCGAAGGCACUCUGCUGGGCCAAUACUAACACUGAGAGACGAAAGCGAGGGGAGCAAAUGGGAUUAGAAACCCGGGUAGUCA